AUGCUCGUAGACGAACAUGCGGUCAUCCUCCUCCUCGCACCAGCCGACGAGGCGCACGAUGUGGUCGUGGCGGAGGCGGAAGGUGAUCACGAGCUCCGGCACGAACGUCUCAUGCGGCCUGUGCUUGUCCAGCACCUUAACGGCCACCUCCGGGCCGUCGUGGAGACGGCCCUUGUACACCGCCCCCGAGCAACCUUGGCCGAGCUUCUCGGCAAAGUUGCUGGUCGCCGUUACAAUCUCCGCCCACGUGAACAUGUAAGGGUAAUCAGGAAACACCGUCAGAGUCUGCAGGGAGGCAGAGGUGGAGCCCGGCGGCGGCACAGUGAUCGUGGUCGGCACCCCGUUGUGUUGGGGACUGAUUCGAGCGAGGUGGCUGGUGAUGGCGGCAUAGUUGACCAUGGGGAAGAGGCUGAGAAGGAAGUAGAUCCUGUCAUUGACUUCCCUGAAGCUAUCGGCGUGGUGGCGGGCACCGAAGAACUGGUUGGCGGCGCUUCGGUUCUGGCAGGCAAGGACGAGCUCGUGCGCCUUGCCCAGCGCCGUGCGCAGCUCCUUGAGUGGCCGCUCCACCACCGGGUCCGCCUGCGGCAGGCGAGACAGCACGUCGCCGAUGAUGGAGAGGCGGAGCGCGAGGUGCUCGCACUCCUGCUUGUUCUGGCGCGCCGUCGCCACCGCGCGAAUGAUCCUGGAGACGAGGCCGGUCGCCUGCUCGAUGAGCUGUGCGACCGCGGCCACAUUCGCCACGACCGCCAACGCCAUGAUCGAUGA
This 765-nucleotide ribosomal RNA is filed under the name Triticum aestivum (bread wheat). RNAcentral describes it as "partial small subunit ribosomal RNA". Lineage: Eukaryota; Viridiplantae; Streptophyta; Magnoliopsida; Poales; Poaceae. The record is from RNAcentral.